This is a non-coding RNA of Ixodes scapularis (black-legged tick), 73 nucleotides long. The record is from Rfam. Lineage: Eukaryota; Metazoa; Arthropoda; Arachnida; Ixodida; Ixodidae.
UCCUGGUUAGUUCAGUUGGUAUACAGCUCCACUGGAAAUGGAGAGGUCCCUGGUACGAUACCAGGACUAGGGG